AGUGAACGCUGGCGGUAGGCCUAACACAUGCAAGUCGAACGGCAGCACAGUAAGAGCUUGCUCUUACGGGUGGCGAGUGGCGGACGGGUGAGGAAUACAUCGGAAUCUACUUUUUCGUGGGGGAUAACGUAGGGAAACUUACGCUAAUACCGCAUACGACCUACGGGUGAAAGCAGGGGAUCUUCGGACCUUGCGCGAUUGAAUGAGCCGAUGUCGGAUUAGCUAGUUGGCGGGGUAAAGGCCCACCAAGGCGACGAUCCGUAGCUGGUCUGAGAGGAUGAUCAGCCAGACUGGAACUGAGACACGGUCCAGACUCCUACGGGAGGCAGCAGUGGGGAAUAUUGGACAAAGGGCGCAAGCCUGAUCCAGCCAUACCGCGUGGGUGAAGAAGGCCUUCGGGUUGUAAAGCCCUUUUGUUGGGAAAGAAAAGCAGCAGGUGAAUACCCCGCUGUUCUGACGGUACCCAAAGAAUAAGCACCGGCUAGCUUGGUG
This 492-nucleotide ribosomal RNA is filed under the name uncultured bacterium. RNAcentral describes it as "partial 16S ribosomal RNA". It matches the Rfam family "Bacterial small subunit ribosomal RNA", at positions 29 to 507 of the family's 1533-position model. The record is from RNAcentral.